CCCAGUUCAGGGAGGUAGUGACAAUAAAUACCUUACAGAGGUCUCGUUAACCGAGAUCUCUCAAACGGAAUGAGUACAACGUGAAUCCUUUAACGAGGAUCGACUGGAGGGCAAGCCUGGUGCCAGCAGCCGCGGUAAUUCCAGCUCCAGUAGCGUACAUUAAAGCUGUUGCGGUUAAAAAGCUCGUAGUUGGAUAUCAGUGCGUGUCCGGUCCGGUAUGCCUGGCGCUGUCGCUCGCGCGGCAAUGCUGGGCUCCCAAAUAUCGGCUGGCCGCAUUUAAUCGUGCCGGACCCGUCGGCGGGCCGCUCUUCGGAGGGGCCUGCUGGCGGCCGGCGACGUUACCUUGAACAAAUUAGAGUGCUCAAAGCAGGCUCUGUAUGCCUGUAUACAUAUUCAUGGAAUUGGAGAAUACGUCCCUGGCUCGAUUUGGUUGGUUUUGAGAGUCGAAGGGAAAUGAUUAAUAGGGACUGACGGAGGCAUUCGUAUUGCGACGCGAGGGGUGAAAUCCUGUGACCGUCGCACGACGAACUACUGCGAAAGCAUUUGCCGAGAAUGUUUUCAUUAGUCAAGAACGAAAGUUAGAGGUUCGAAGGCGAUCAGAUACCGCCCUAGUUCUAACCGUAAACGAUGUCGACCAGCAAUCCGCAACGGUCACUACACGGACUGUGCGGGCAGCUUCCCCGGGGAAACCAGAGUUUUUGGACUCCGGGGGAAGUAUGGUUGCAAAGCUGAAACUUAAAGGAAUUGACGGAAGGGCACCACCAGGAGUGGAGCUUGCGGCUUAAUUUGACUCAACACGGGACAACUCACCAGGCCCGGACACCGUAAGGAUUGACAGACUGAUAGCUCUCUCUUGAUUCAGUGGGUGGUGGUGCAUGGCCGUUCUUAGUUGGUGGAGUGAUUUGUCUGGUUUAUUCCGAUAACGAACGAGACUCUGGCCUAUUAAACUUGACGUUGUCAGUCUCUUGUGACUGCGGCGCGCUUCUUAGAGGGAUCAUCGGCGUCCCAGCCGAAGGAAAGGGAGCAAUAACAGGUCUGUGAUGCCCUUAGAUGUUCUGGGCUGCACGCGUGUUACACUGAAGUGGUCAGCGCGCCGUUCAACACCCCUCUCCGUGAGGAGCUUGGGCAAACGUUUGAACCCUUUUCGUGAUGGGAAUUGGGGGUUGCAAUUG
RNAcentral lists this ribosomal RNA (1172 nucleotides) under Euacasta dofleini. Its description in RNAcentral is "SSU rRNA". It matches the Rfam family "Eukaryotic small subunit ribosomal RNA", at positions 450 to 1592 of the family's 1831-position model. Lineage: Eukaryota; Metazoa; Arthropoda; Thecostraca; Balanomorpha; Balanidae. RNAcentral also lists the same sequence under 1 other name. The record is from RNAcentral.